UUGAAUCUGAUAAGAUUGCUGACGGUGUCCGAAACCAUUUUAAUUUGCACCAUGUGAUCUGACUAAAGUCACGCGGAAUAAGUACUUUCGAUUUGUUAUAACGCCCUCUAUUGCUGUUUAGAUCACUAUAUUUUGCAGGAGCUACAAUACAAAAACAAAGAAGAAGAAUGACGGCCAUAGACGCAAUAGACGAAAUAGAACCAGGCGAUGCAGUUGUAUUCAAAUAUUGGGAAAAAGAUCAUGAAGGUAUUGUUACAAGCGUCACAAUGGAUCGCAACGAACGCAAACUUGGAAUAGUUCAUAUUAUUCAUUACGCUUACGACUUUCCGAGAACAUGGAAAAUAAUAGAGGAAACCUUUUGUUUUAAUCUUACAUUACAAAAAAUAUGUAAGAAAGUUUACAAUGGAGUGGACAUCAUAGAUUCACCCACCGUUGUAGAACGAGCAAAGGCGCGGUUAGGCGAAGAUCGCAAUGACAGAAACUACAACACGUCUCGUCAUUUAGUAGAGUGGGCAAAGGUUGGUCAUGAUAGCAAAAUGCUUGUUGUCGACACAUACAGACAUAGCACCGGUUGCUUGUUCCGUAUAUACAAUGCGUAUGCCUGGUCGGAUAUAGAAACGGGAUGUAUUAUCGAAUUUUCAUAUCAUGGGUUUAAGCAUCAAAGUGUGGUCAAAAAGAUAAAUACGGGUGAAGACAAAAUAACCGUCAUUCAUUAUGGCUUCAGCCAUAUAUUUGGUACGCGAACUGUCAUGGAAGAAAACAUAAAAAUUGAUUUCAAAACAGAGGACAUAAGGAUAUAUCGGUGUGACCCAGCAUUCAACCACAAUGAACAAGAAGAUGUUGUAGCAAAAGCAGAAAAAAGGAUCGGUGAGCAGCAUUGGAGUAUUAUUACCAACUCAUGUUGGGCAUUCUGCAUGCAAUGCCUUUUCCACUAAAUACCAGGAAUCCACAUGAUAGCCAUACAUAUGAGCGUAUCGGAUACAGUACAUUUUCGUUGUUAUAAAUAAACAGAUGAGAAUUGUUAACAAUGGUUUCCUAUACCAUAUCUAUUCGUUUUUGCAAACAAAAUCAUUUAAUCAUAGAGCGAGGUGACCACACAAGUCAAUCUAUUUGAUUGCUACAGACCUAAAUUAAUACAAAUUAAUACAAACAAAAAUAUGUGCAUACCCCAAAAUGCCCGUGUAAUCUGCAAAUGAUCGGGAUGUGUAACUGUCAAGUUCACUUCCAACUGACUACAUAGACAACAAAGAGAAGAAUCCGCCUUGAAAAGAAAAUAUUGUUUCGGGACAAUUUAAUGAUGUAACAGUACCCACAUGACUAAAAACAAUAGAAACAACAACGUUUUUAAAUAACGGUCUUAAAACGGACACUUCUGAAUCUGCUAUGCAGAGUUUUGAAUUAGGUUGUUGUUCAAUAUUGUCAUAUGCUAAAUUGGUUCAUUGAACAGAAAAGAACAGAAAGUUUAUUUGUAUAACUUGAACAAGUCUAGUUCAUCGGUAUACAUUCAAAACUGGCAAUAUAUAAGCAAGAAACACAUGCAUUGCAAUUCGAAAGUGACACAAAUAGUAUAUACAAUGUGUUAAAUAAUGCGGAUUAGGCCAUUAUAUUACUUAACGUUUGCAUUCAAUGUCUCAGUUCUCAUUUUAAACGCAUGUUCAUAAUAUUUCGCUAGAUUUGUUAAAACUUUAGUGUUUGUAUUUGUUAACAGAUUUAAAAAAUGUAUGCAUACUAGGUCGGUUAGUCGGUGUCAAUAUAUAGUUUUCUAAUAUAAGUAUAAAGAGAACAUGCGAUUACAAAAUGAUAUUCGUCCUCGAUAUCACCUGAGCUUCAUAUACUACAUUUACGUUCGUUUCUAUGCAUAUUUAUAUGUCUCCCUGAUUAAUUUUUUAAUAUAUGUGACGAAAGUCUUAGUUUUUAUAUGUUUUCUUUCUUAAAUUAAAGUUUUGGAUUAUGUUAAGGUAAUCAGAAAAUUCAAAUCGAUUUUUCAACUCUUUGUAUAAUGUUAAUGAACUUUUUUACAUUUAAAUCAUUUCGCCUAAAACCUAUGUACAUAUCAAUUAGUCUAGUUUUAAAUAUAAGGAUAAAUACAUUUGAAUUUACUGACUCUUGAUACAUCCAUACAUCUACAAACCUGUAUUUUGAAGCAAGUCACGUACUUUGGUUAUCCACUUGUUACAUCGUAUAAUAUUUUCAGCACCGUUUCUCAUUUAACACAGUGUACUAUAUAAUAUACAAUUAGUUUGUUUAACAGUAUACAAUUUUAUAAAAUAUUUUAUAAUUCGUGCAUGGCGAUUUAUAUACAACAUACUGCUGCAUUAGGAGUACCCGUUUAGACACAACGCAUUCGUUUUAAAUAAUCUCCUAGUAUUUGAAAAAAACAACAUACGCAUGACAAAUAUUGACGUAACAUACGAAUAAAAAAGAUUCAACAUUAUUUUAACAGGACCAUGCAUGUCUUUGGUAAUUGCAAAAAGCGACCCCAUAGCCUUUAAGCCUCUGAUAACGUUUGAGUAUUCUGUUUAAAUGACCCACCACUUGAUAGUACAAUGCCGAGAAAGUUACAGUUUGACCAUUUCUAUUUGUUCAUUAUUAAAAAAAAAUCACAUUCUGUGAAUUAUUUCCACCCUUUUUAUAUAUUAAUAACUUAUUGAUUAUACUAUUUUAUUGUUAUUUCAUUAAUUUUGACAAUCUGUAUGGUUAAUAAACAAUGGACCGGUU
Molecule: long non-coding RNA, 2718 nt
Organism: Dreissena polymorpha
Lineage: Eukaryota; Metazoa; Mollusca; Bivalvia; Myida; Dreissenidae
Exons: 2
Source: RefSeq, a predicted model, not a curated record